RNAcentral lists this unclassified non-coding RNA (314 nucleotides) under uncultured fungus. Its description in RNAcentral is "partial contains 5.8S ribosomal RNA and internal transcribed spacer 2". The stretch from base 1 to 133 matches the Rfam family "5.8S ribosomal RNA", at positions 22 to 154 of the family's 154-position model. Lineage: Eukaryota; Fungi. The record is from RNAcentral.
UGGUUCUGGCAUNGAUGAAGAACGCAGCGAAAUGCGAUAAGUAAUGUGAAUUGCAGAAUUCAGUGAAUCAUCGAAUCUUUGAACGCACAUUGCGCCCUCUGGUAUUCCGGGGGGCAUGCCUGUUCGAGCGUCAUUACAACCCUCAAGCUCUGCUUGGUAUUGGGUGUCACCAGCUUGGUGCACUUUAAAAUCAGUGGCGGUGCCAUUUGGCUUCAAGCGUAGUAAUAAUUUCGCUUCUGAAGUUUAGAUGUACUCUUGUCAGCAAUUCAUAUAUAUCAAAGGUUGACCUCGGAUCAGGUAGGGAUACCCGCUGA